RNAcentral lists this ribosomal RNA (786 nucleotides) under Voragocoris sp. UCR ENT 00120065. Its description in RNAcentral is "partial large subunit ribosomal RNA". The stretch from base 560 to 720 matches the Rfam family "Archaeal large subunit ribosomal RNA", at positions 2544 to 2703 of the family's 2987-position model. The record is from RNAcentral. Lineage: Eukaryota; Metazoa; Arthropoda; Insecta; Hemiptera; Schizopteridae.
UUAGGCUUAAUAAUAGUCAUUAUUAUUUUGUUAUAAYUAUAUACUUUUUAUUUAUUUGAUUUUUAUUUAUUUUAAUAGAAUAUUUAAAUAAUAUCUUUAAUUAUUUCUUAUAAGAAAUAAUGAUUUAAUUAGUAUUGUUUAUAAUUAUAAUUUAGGAAUUCGGCAAUUAUUGAUUUUACCUGUUUAAUAAAGACAUGUCUUUUUGUUAUUUAAUUUAAAGUCUGGCCUGCCCAAUGAUUUUUAUUUAAUGGCUGCAGUAUUUUAACUGUACAAAGGUAGCGUAAUCACUUGUUUAUUAAUUUUAGACUAGUAUGAAGGGUUUGAUAAAAAUUAAUCUUUCUUAUUUAUAUAAAUAAGAAAUUAUUUUUUGAGUUAAAAAACUUAAAUAUUUUUAUAGGACGAGAAGACCCUAUAGAACUUUAUAUAAAAAUAUUAAUAUAUUAAUAUUUUUAUAUUUAAUUGGGGUGAUUUUAAUUUUUAGUUAACAAUUAUUUUUUUUUUCAAUAAUUUUUGAUUUUUUGAUCCAAUGUUUUUGAUUAUAAGAUUAAGUUACCUUAGGGAUAACAGCGUAAUUUAAUUGGAGAGUACUUAUCGAUAAUUGUGAGUUUGCGACCUCGAUGUUGAAUUAAGAUAAAAUUAGGGGUAGAUUUUUAUAUUUUUUGGUCUGUUCGACCAUUAAUUUCUUACAUGAUUUGAGUUUAGACCGGUGUGAGCCAGGUCGGUUUCUAUCCUUAAUAUAAUUAUUAUUUUUUAGUACGAGAGGACCAAAAAUUUAAUAAAAAUUUU